CUCUCUUUCUGUGGAAUGCUUUAAUUUAGAAAGUCGACGGCACAGGAUCACUUUAAACUGCCUAUGAUAUCAGAAAUCAUACAACUUUUCGUUUAUUAAAUUUUGAUCAAUUAGCAAACUGUUAUUAAUAUUUUAAAUGAUUUUAACUAUGGCCACAAUCAUCUAUUUUAAUGAAUUUUUUUUUUAUGGCAUACAAAAUCUCAUGUUUCUAUGAUCUGAUGUUUGAUUAACUAUUUUUAAACUAUAUAAGUUUACUGGUAUAAUAAGUUGUGUGUAAGAGUUGGUAUGAAUGAGCUUGAUAUAUAUUAAUCAAUUUAUUUCCAGGUUUUUCAGAUUAACUUCAUAAUUAGUGAUAAAAAUACGCGAACAAAUUCUUCGUAAUUUUUUUUUAAAUCGGUUGCGUCUUUCAUGUAUUAAGAUUACAUUAAUUAUUUUGUGAUUUUAAAAGCCCUUCCUAUAUUAUCGUUGAUCAGAAGGUACGGCGUCGGGUAAAUUGUGCAAUUAUUUUUCAAACAAUGUGUUAAAUUUUCACGGUAAAAAAACUCAUUUCUAUAGAAUCGUUUAUCGAAAGACACGCUAACAUUUAGGAUAGACAAUUAGCGCGCAUUUUUGAAUUUUUUGAUUCGAUUGUGAGUAGCGGGACCUCGCGGUUACUCGGCAACGUGUUUUUCGGAACCGGGAAUCUUUGUUCUAUGAUUUGCAAUUGUUUCACGGGAAGAUUCGAUUUAAAUUGCGUUAGCAAAAUAUAAAUUAUCAUUCAAUUCGACCAUUCGUUUCCCGCGAAUCGUGGCGACAAAUAUUGUUUCAACGCGAUUGUUCAAGUCCUUCAGAUAACAUCAUAACUCAUCAGUCAUUAAUUGGUCGCUCAUCUUAUAAUAAUUUAAAAGUAUAAAUAGUCUCAGGUCAACUCUACGUAAAUAUAUAACGCUGAGUUUAAUAUUUCACCUUUUUAACACACAUAAUUUUGAUUCUAUCUUUCCACAGCCGGCUGUCUAAGAUUGAAUCAUUUAUGCUAAACUCAACACCAAAUAACCGGGAAUGGUCUCAUCCGCAUCGUCCGAUUGUUUGCCUUGAGAAUACAUAAUACAUCACCCUAUUCAACAAAAUUUAUUGAUUAUUGGGCCACAUCAUCAUCCUCUAUGAUGAAUCCUGGCCAUUACCCUUCCCCACUAACAAAAUCCCAAGUAGAAAUAGUUUUCCGGCACACGCGGGGGUGUGGAUAUCGUAUAGAACCCACCCUUGGUAGCAGCCUGUGCUAACUAACAUUCCCGUCCCAUCUCCUCGAGAUCUACAAACUGACAUGGCGGGCGCCGUUGGUGGCCAACGACUGUUUCCUAUUCGCACCGGCUCUAGUUUUGAUGAUCGUGAUGUUUUAUCUUUUCAGCGCAUUCAUGCAUGCUGUUGAUAAGGGAAACAUCAUUUGAUCGUUGAAGCGUGUGACCGGUUGUGCUGAUGGGAUAUUACCAAGGAUAUUACGGUCCUGUUCAGCAACGGAGAAGGACAACCAUGGGUGGUCUCUCAUGCUCAUGCUCAUUUUCGUCCGCGUGGUGAACUGUCAAAACAUUCGCCAUGCUCGACGUCGCUAAGAAUUUUGUUGCAGCAGCAUUUUCGGGCGAAACUAUUUUCAAUUUUGAUCCUUUGCUGGCCAGAACCUGCUACCGUUUAAGAAAAAGGUUGCGGGUGGAAACAUGGAACAUUAGGCAAAACAUCCAUGAUGAACUGUUCCGGGAAGCCGCUGCUUGUGAUGUUCUUGGCUGAACACUUUCGUUCUAGCAAAGAGGAUGUUCCCGGAGUGGAUCAAAACGUAGUGCGCAAGUAGUGAGUUCUCUCCAGUUGUGCCACCUUGAUGCCAUCUCCCGUGGGGUGGCCAACUCAUUGGAAAUGGCAAGCGUGAAGAUGUCAAGUGGAACAAAACCCAAGAACGAAAAUCCGGCGGAAAAUCGAAGAACAAAAACCAUUUUGAGCUGUGAUUUGAGUUGUGUCAUUAAAUUAUGAAGUGUAACAAUAAAAAACUUUAGUUUUGGACAGUAUUCACAGGCUUUAUUUAUUCCAAUAAGAAUUUAAACAUUCCGAUUAGAAAAAUUAUCCACCGAAGCUACAUUAAAUGUAAUAUUACACGACCUUAGAUGAUUGAUGGUCGUGUAAUUUUACGUCUUAUUCAACGCGACUUUAGGUCUGAUAUGAUGCUCCAGUUAUGUGCAUCUAAUAUAACAGAAAAUUACACGUAUUUUUCGUAGUGUGCAUACAAGACUUUGGUAUGAUUUCAUGGUAUUUUACCAUCUAUUACUGGGCAACCAAGGGCACAUUUUGGUCCCUGUUAUUUGCCCAAGUAAUACCAAAAUUUGGUAUUCCCGUGUUAUUUACCCCUGCUCGGGUUAAGGGGACAGUACAUGAGAAGCGAGCCGGGGAGAGAUCAAAAAGAGCGAGGAUCACCUCUCAAAUAGCUGGGCACGCUAGUGAUGUGACGUUACCCGAGACUCUCAACAUUAUCUUGUACUGCGAUAAGUGCUGUAAAAAAGACGCCGAAACCAGUGAAAGGUUUCCAGAAGCGAGGAAGGCCGAAGAAGAAUGAAGCUUCAGCGAUUUCUAUUCAAUGUUUAUUGAUCACUUUUUUUUUUACAAAUAAAUUUGUAUUCGUUACAAAAAAGGCAUUUGGGAGUUUUUUGCCUCCUGGACCGAGCUUGUUUGCGGAAAAUCGUGCAGCUAAUGGUGUAGCGGCAACAAAAGAAAAGUUAAACAGUAAGUUAGUUACAUUAAAAUUCACUGCAAGUUCAUCAAAAAUCUUUAUGCGGGCUGUCAUCAGUGUUAGGUUCUAAACGAUACAAUGAAGAAAUUGGUUUGUUUGGAUAUAUUUAUUCAAAUAUUAAACGGCUUCCAACAAACAUGUUUUAUUCGGUAUUUGAUUUGUUAAAAUUAGUAAUAAAUAAUUAUUUUAAGAUAUAACAGUUCAUUAUUCUUUUGUCAAACGCUUGAACGAUGAUCCAACCUGACUUCAGACUUAAAUACAUUAUCCAACAUUUUUGGACACUCUUCGCAAACGUCAAACCGUACAAAUUUGUUCCUGAGGCUUUUCCGGAAGAGAUCCUGAAAAAGAUCCGACAGCAACUUUGUACUGCCGUUUGCGGAGGGUGCCUAAAAGUUUAGUUAUGUCUAAGGCUACCAACUGUACGGUUUUUUUCCUUAGCAUACGGAUUUUUGACCCUUUUCGCUGAUUUUUAACAGGCCGGAUAUUUGUCCGGUUUUUUUUUCGUAGAAUAUGGAUUUGUACAGCAUUCAAUGUGAUAAUGACAACUUUUUUAAAUUGAAUUCCAGAGUUUUUUUUUUAAUUGGUCCUAUAAACAUAUGAAAGACAAUAGCUUAUAGGACCUUUUUAUAAAAAAAACUCUGGAAUUGUUUCUUUGAUUUAGCCAAAGCUUUUGCAAACUGAUUUUUUUCAUAUGUAUAACUUUCACUUUAGAAAGAUUAUUUGGAUAGUUUUCUGGAUUUGCUUCAGUUCAAAGUUGAUAAUCAAUAAUUGUUCUAUUCAAAUUCCUUACAAAUACAUUAGGGUGGUCCAAAUCCGGACUUUCUCGGGGCUACCCCCUGAAAUAAAAGAUUGACCCAUCACUAGCCUAAAUUCCAAAUUUGAGCUCAUUCUGUCCAAGGGAACCCCUCCCUCUAACUCCUUGAAAUUCGUAUGGGAAAAAUCGUCACAAUGUAUUGAGAAAAGCAACUGUUUCAGUUUUUUACCGGUAGAGGGCGCAAUAGUCUCUAGUUAAGUUGUUCAAAAUUUAAUGAACAUCUGAACAUUGAUAAAGAUUGGACAACUAUUGCGUUUCCCACAGGUACACAGUAAAAAAAAUCAUGGUAAUAUUACAUCUGGGAAGGGGUACAUCUUUUAUGUCCGAAAAAAUGUUUAAUAAAACAUCUGAAAACGCAUAAUUUUACCACUUUUCUGGUGUAAUGUCACUUUUUCAGUCUAAAUUGAGGUAAAAUUACAUCAUAUAAGAAGUAAUAUUCAACCUUCCACAUUUACACAUUUUUUAUUGUGUAAAAAACUGAAACAGUUGCUUUCCUCCAUACAUUUUGACGAUUUUUUCCAUACAAAUUUCAAGCGAUUAGAGGGAGGGG
Long non-coding RNA from Culex pipiens pallens (northern house mosquito), 4110 nucleotides. RefSeq lists it as uncharacterized. The record is from RefSeq and is a predicted model, not a curated record. The transcript has 2 exons. Lineage: Eukaryota; Metazoa; Arthropoda; Insecta; Diptera; Culicidae.